This 422-nucleotide ribosomal RNA is filed under the name uncultured bacterium. RNAcentral's name for it is "bacterial SSU rRNA". It matches the Rfam family "Bacterial small subunit ribosomal RNA", at positions 355 to 774 of the family's 1533-position model. The record is from RNAcentral.
CGAGAAAUAUUGGGCAAUGGGCGCAAGCCUCUACCCGCCAUGCCGCGUGCAGGAAGACGGUCCUAUGGAUUGUAAACUGCUUUUAUUCGGGAAUAAACCACAUUACGUGUAGUGUGCUGAAUGUACCGAAGGAAUAAGGAUCGGCUAACUCCGUGCCAGCAGCCGCGGUAAUACGGAGGAUCCAAGCGUUAUCCGGAUUUAUUGGGUUUAAAGGGUGCGUAGGCGGCUUAUUGAGUCAGGGGUGAAAGACGGUGGCUCAACCAUCGCAGUGCCCUUGAUACUGAUGAGCUUGAAUGGACUAGAGGUAGGCGGAAUGUGACAAGUAGCGGUGAAAUGCAUAGAUAUGUCACAGAACACCGAUUGCGAAGGCAGCUUACUAUGGUUUAAUUGACGCUGAAGCACGAAAGCGUGGGGAGCAAACA